Molecule: ribosomal RNA, 465 nt
Filed under: uncultured bacterium
Lineage: Bacteria
Description: bacterial SSU rRNA
Rfam family: Bacterial small subunit ribosomal RNA
Source: RNAcentral
CCUACGGGGUGCACCAGUGGGGAAUAUUGGACAAUGGGCGCAAGCCUGAUCCAGCAAUGCCGCGUGUGUGAAGAAGGCCUUCGGGUUGUAAAGCACUUUUAUCAGGAACGAAAUACCACGGGUUAAUACCCUAUGGGGCUGACGGUACCUGAGGAAUAAGCACCGGCUAACUUCGUGCCAGCAGCCGCGGUAAUACGAAGGGUGCAAGCGUUAAUCGGAAUUACUGGGCGUAAAGCGUGCGUAGGCGGUUUGUUAAGUCUGCUGUGAAAGCCCUGGGCUCAACCUGGGAAUGGCAGUGGAAACUGGCGAGCUAGAGUGUGAUAGAGGAUGGUGGAAUUCCCGGUGUAGCGGUGAAAUGCGUAGAGAUCGGGAGGAACAUCAGUGGCGAAGGCGGCCAUCUGGAUCGACACUGACGCUGAGGCACGAAAGCGUGGGGAGCAAACAGGAUUAGAUACCCGUGUAGUC